GAUCUUGGUAAACAAACUGCUGGCUUGUAUAAGUUGACAUGGGUUCCUCCUUCCUCUUCCCUAUCUUCAACAAGUUCUGUUUGUUCUGCUUCUACUUCUUGUGAUACUAGUAAGUUUACUGUUUUGUCGUCCAUGCCUAUUUCUUGUAAUGAUACAAUUCUGUCUGAUAAUAAAACUGUUUCAUCUUUCUUACAUGUAACUGGCCCCACUUGUAAUAAU
RNAcentral lists this long non-coding RNA (219 nucleotides) under Nicotiana benthamiana. RNAcentral's name for it is "long non-coding RNA (NBEN_LNC000571)". Lineage: Eukaryota; Viridiplantae; Streptophyta; Magnoliopsida; Solanales; Solanaceae. The record is from RNAcentral.